This 803-nucleotide ribosomal RNA is filed under the name uncultured bacterium. RNAcentral's name for it is "bacterial SSU rRNA". It matches the Rfam family "Bacterial small subunit ribosomal RNA", at positions 690 to 1504 of the family's 1533-position model. The record is from RNAcentral.
GUAGAUAUUAGAAAGAAUACCAAUUGCGAAGGCAGCUUUCUGGAUCAUUACUGACACUGAGGAACGAAAGCAUGGGUAGCGAAGAGGAUUAGAUACCCUCGUAGUCCAUGCCGUAAACGAUGUGUGUUAGACGUUGGAAAUUUAUUUUCUGUGUCGCAGCGAAAGCGAUAAACACACCGCCUGGGGAGUACGACCGCAAGGUUAAAACUCAAAUGAAUUGACGGGGACCCGCACAAGUAGUGGAGCAUGUGGUUUAAUUCGAAGAUACGCGCAGAACCUUACCAACACUUGACAUGUUCGUCGCGACUUUAAGAGAUUAAAGUUUUCGGUUCGGCCGGACGAAACACAGGUGCUGCAUGGCUGUCGUCAGCUCGUGUCGUGAGAUGUUGGGUUAAGUCCCGCAACGAGCGCAACCCUCACUUUUAGUUGCCAUCAUUUAGUUGGGCACUCUGAAAGAACUGCCAGUGAUAAGCUGGAGGAAGGUGGGGAUGACGUCAAGUCCUCAUGGCCCUUACGUGUUGGGCUACACACGUGCUACAAUGAUAUCUACAACAGGAAGCAAGACGGCGACGUUAAGCAAAUCCUUAAAAGAUAUCUCAGUUCGGAUUGCACUCUGCAACUCGAGUGCAUGAAGCUGGAAUUACUAGUAAUCGUGGAUCAGCGUGCCACGGUGAAUGCGUUCCCGGGUCUUGUACACACCGCCCGUCACACCAUGGGAGUUGGUUCUACCUUAAGGCAAGGUUUAAUACCCUUGACCACGGUAUAGUCAGCGACUGGGGUGAAGUCGUAACAAGGUAACCGUA